This 279-nucleotide ribosomal RNA is filed under the name uncultured bacterium. RNAcentral describes it as "partial 16S ribosomal RNA". It matches the Rfam family "Bacterial small subunit ribosomal RNA", at positions 506 to 784 of the family's 1533-position model. The record is from RNAcentral.
UGCCAGCAGCCGCGGUAAUACGGAGGGUGCAAGCGUUAAUCGGAAUUACUGGGCGUAAAGGGCGCGUAGGUGGCCAGAUAAGUCGAAUGUGAAAGCCCCGGGCUUAACUUGGGAAUUGCAUCCGAUACUGUCUAGCUAGAGUGUGGCAGAGGGAAGCGGAAUUCCGGGUGUAGCGGUGAAAUGCGUAGAUAUCCGGAGGAACAUCAGUGGCGAAGGCGGCUUCCUGGGUUAACACUGACGCUGAGGCGCGAAAGCGUGGGGAGCAAACAGGAUUAGAUA